GAUGAACGCUGGCGGCGUGCCUAAUACAUGCAAGUCGAGCGAACAGAUGAGGAGCUUGCUCCUCUGACGUUAGCGGCGGACGGGUGAGUAACACGUGGAUAACCUACCUAUAAGACUGGGAUAACUUCGGGAAACCGGAGCUAAUACCGGAUAAUAUAUUGAACCGCAUGGUUCAAUAGUGAAAGACGGUUUUGCUGUCACUUAUAGAUGGAUCCGCGCUGCAUUAGCUAGUUGGUAAGGUAACGGCUUACCAAGGCAACGAUGCGUAGCCGACCUGAGGGGGUGAUCGGCCACACUGGAACUGAGACACGGUCCAGACUCCUACGGGAGGCAGCAGUAGGGAAUCGUCCGCAAUGGGCGAAAGCCUGACGGAGCAACGCCGCGUGAGUGAUGAAGGUCUUCGGAUCGUAAAACUCUGUUAUUAGGGAAGAACAAAUGUGUAAGUAACUAUGCACGUCUUGACGGUACCUAAUCAGAAAGCCACGGCUAACUACGUG
RNAcentral lists this ribosomal RNA (497 nucleotides) under uncultured bacterium. RNAcentral's name for it is "partial 16S ribosomal RNA". It matches the Rfam family "Bacterial small subunit ribosomal RNA", at positions 28 to 507 of the family's 1533-position model. The record is from RNAcentral.